This 871-nucleotide long non-coding RNA is filed under the name Gossypium barbadense (sea-island cotton). RNAcentral describes it as "long non-coding RNA (GBAR_LNC022545)". Lineage: Eukaryota; Viridiplantae; Streptophyta; Magnoliopsida; Malvales; Malvaceae. The record is from RNAcentral.
GGAAGGACUAGACCCGCAAAUAUCCCACCUGACGUCAGAGCGCGCGGAUCCUUCCCUUCGGGUCGGGUCACCGCGCGGGUCAGGCCUGGGAAAACGGCGCCAUUUUGAAUGUUAUUUAAAACAAAAUUCUCCCUUAAAAAAACAUUUGAAACAGAGUAAAAGAAAAAAAAAUAAAAAAAAACACUCAAAGGUCCUCUGGUGCUCUGCUAGGGUUUCGCCCCUAGCGUCAUCGCGCCAUCCCUCGGCCCACGCCGGCGCUCCGACCACGACGGAGAUGGCCACCGGUCCGGCGUCCUCGGCGAAUGAGGUAAGUUUUUUUGUUAUUUCUUUUUUAAAAAAACGCAAAAGAAAAUAAAAUAUAUAAAUAAAAUAAAAUAAAAUAAAAAUGCUAGAACCCGAUUCACCUUGAAUCAAAAACAAUCUGAUUUUUCCAAAGUUUUUUUUCUAUUUCUUUCGUAUUCUCUCUGUGUAUUUUCGUUAAUACCAUCCCCCCUUUACAUGUUAAAAAUAGCCUUUUAUAGGCCGAAGAAAGAAAAAAAAACAAUAUUGUUUGCUGUUUUUUCUCUUUGGACUCCUUGGGUCCGUUUUUCAGGUGUUCGUGGAGAGUUUGGCGCUCAUGGAGAGGGGUUGGCCCCGAAUCGUGCGGCGCUUGGAGAGGCUGCUGAAGGCUGUUGCGGCGCUAAGGCAGAUGCGGCUGGAGAGGGGAGUCUGCCUAGGGUUUGGGUUGAUUUAUUUUUUUGCUGGGCUAGGAGUUGUUUUGGGCUUGUAUUUUGGUUUUAGUGGCCCGGGCAAUUUGGGCUUUGUACAACAAGUACAUGUGACAUUCUUCCCUAAAUUAUAUGACAUGUUUAUCAUACAUAUGCAUGAACAC